GACGAACGCUGGCGGCGUGCCUAAUACAUGCAAGUAGAACGCACAGUUUAUACCGUAGCUUGCUACACCAUAGACUGUGAGUUGCGAACGGGUGAGUAACGCGUAGGUAACCUGCCUGGUAGCGGGGGAUAACUAUUGGAAACGAUAGCUAAUACCGCAUAAUAUUAAUUAUUGCAUGAUAAUUAAUUGAAAGGUGCAAUUGCACCACUACCAGAUGGACCUGCGUUGUAUUAGCUAGUAGGUGAGGUAACGGCUCACCUAGGCGACGAUACAUAGCCGACCUGAGAGGGUGAUCGGCCACACUGGGACUGAGACACGGCCCAGACUCCUACGGGGGGCAGCAGUAGGGAAUCUUCGGCAAUGGACGAAAGUCUGACCGAGCAACGCCGCGUGAGUGAAGAAGGUUUUCGGAUCGUAAAGCUCUGUUGUAAGAGAAGAACGGGUGUGAGAGUGGAAAGUUCACACUGUGACGGUAUCUUACCAGAAAGAGACGGCUAACUACGUG
RNAcentral lists this ribosomal RNA (505 nucleotides) under uncultured bacterium. RNAcentral describes it as "partial 16S ribosomal RNA". It matches the Rfam family "Bacterial small subunit ribosomal RNA", at positions 28 to 507 of the family's 1533-position model. The record is from RNAcentral.